This 296-nucleotide small nuclear RNA is filed under the name Anolis carolinensis (green anole). RNAcentral's name for it is "7SK RNA". It matches the Rfam family "7SK RNA". Rfam says of the family: 7SK was discovered as an abundant small nuclear RNA in the mid-70s but a possible function has only recently been suggested. Two independent studies have found that 7SK RNA binds the CDK9/cyclin T complex (known as elongation factor P-TEFb). The record is from Rfam by way of RNAcentral. Lineage: Eukaryota; Metazoa; Chordata; Lepidosauria; Squamata; Anolidae.
GGAUGUGAGAGUGAUCUGGCUGCGACAUCUAUCACCCGAUUGAUCGCCAGGGUUGAUUCAGCUGAUCUGGCUGGCUAGGCAGGUGUCCCUCUCUCACCGCUCCAUGUGCAUCCCUCCCAAAGCUGCACGCUCGGUGGAAGAGGACAACACCCAGGUAUAGAAGGAAUGUAUCGAGGUCUCCAAUCUUCGGUCCCGGGUAUACGAUAGCUGUAACUAGCACAGAUAUAAAGUACAGAAAGUCUUUGAUCAUGUUGCCAGGCAUUUUUCUAAAUAUAUUUUGUAGGAAAAUAAAAUCU